GACGAACGCUGGCGGCGUGCCUAAUACAUGCAAGUCGAACGAACUCUGGUAUUGAUUGGUGCUUGCAUCAUGAUUUACAUUUGAGUGAGUGGCGAACUGGUGAGUAACACGUGGGAAACCUGCCCAGAAGCGGGGGAUAACACCUGGAAACAGAUGCUAAUACCGCAUAACAACUUGGACCGCAUGGUCCGAGCUUGAAAGAUGGCUUCNGCUAUCACUUUUGGAUGGUCCCGCGGCGUAUUAGCUAGAUGGUGGGGUAACGGCUCACCAUGGCAAUGAUACGUAGCCGACCUGAGAGGGUAAUCGGCCACAUUGGGACUGAGACACGGCCCAAACUCCUACGGGAGGCAGCAGUAGGGAAUCUUCCACAAUGGACGAAAGUCUGAUGGAGCAACGCCGCGUGAGUGAAGAAGGGUUUCGGCUCGUAAAACUCUGUUGUUAAAGAAGAACAUAUCUGAGAGUAACUGUUCAGGUAUUGACGGUAUUUAACCAGAAAGCCACGGCUAACUACGUGCCAGCAGCCGCGGUAAUACGUAGGUGGCAAGCGUUGUCCGGAUUUAUUGGGCGUAAAGCGAGCGCAGGCGGUUUUUUAAGUCUGAUGUGAAAGCCUUCGGCUCAACCGAAGAAGUGCAUCGGAAACUGGGAAACUUGAGUGCAGAAGAGGACAGUGGAACUCCAUGUGUAGCGGUGAAAUGCGUAGAUAUAUGGAAGAACACCAGUGGCGAAGGCGGCUGUCUGGUCUGUAACUGACGCUGAGGCUCGAAAGUAUGGGUAGCAAACAGGAUUAGAUACCCUGGUAGUCCAUACCGUAAACGAUGAAUGCUAAGUGUUGGAGGGUUUCCGCCCUUCAGUGCUGCAGCUAACGCAUUAAGCAUUCCGCCUGGGGAGUACGGCCGCAAGGCUGAAACUCAAAGGAAUUGACGGGGGCCCGCACAAGCGGUGGAGCAUGUGGUUUAAUUCGAAGCUACGCGAAGAACCUUACCAGGUCUUGACAUACUAUGCAAAUCUAAGAGAUUAGACGUUCCCUUCGGGGACAUGGAUACAGGUGGUGCAUGGUUGUCGUCAGCUCGUGUCGUGAGAUGUUGGGUUAAGUCCCGCAACGAGCGCAACCCUUAUUAUCAGUUGCCAGCAUUAAGUUGGGCACUCUGGUGAGACUGCCGGUGACAAACCGGAGGAAGGUGGGGAUGACGUCAAAUCAUCAUGCCCCUUAUGACCUGGGCUACACACGUGCUACAAUGGAUGGUACAACGAGUUGCGAACUCGCGAGAGUAAGCUAAUCUCUUAAAGCCAUUCUCAGUUCGGAUUGUAGGCUGCAACUCGCCUACAUGAAGUCGGAAUCGCUAGUAAUCGCGGAUCAGCAUGCCGCGGUGAAUACGUUCCCGGGCCUUGUACACACCGCCCGUCACACCAUGAGAGUUUGUAACACCCAAAGUCGGUGGGGUAACCUUUUAGGAACCAGCCGCCUAAGGUGGGACAGAUGAUUAGGGUGAAGUCGUAACAAGGUAGCCGUAGGAGAACCUGC
RNAcentral lists this ribosomal RNA (1522 nucleotides) under Lactiplantibacillus plantarum. Its description in RNAcentral is "Lactobacillus plantarum 16S ribosomal RNA". It matches the Rfam family "Bacterial small subunit ribosomal RNA". The record is from RNAcentral. Lineage: Bacteria; Bacillati; Bacillota; Bacilli; Lactobacillales; Lactobacillaceae.